AUCCUUGAAGAAAUGGUUUCCUGU
Molecule: non-coding RNA, 24 nt
Filed under: Arabidopsis thaliana (thale cress)
Lineage: Eukaryota; Viridiplantae; Streptophyta; Magnoliopsida; Brassicales; Brassicaceae
Source: RNAcentral